Mycena rebaudengoi is the source of this 84-nucleotide non-coding RNA. Lineage: Eukaryota; Fungi; Basidiomycota; Agaricomycetes; Agaricales; Mycenaceae. The record is from the annotation of a GenBank genome assembly.
GACCUCAUAGCGAAAUUGGUAUUGCAUUCACACCCUUUAGAUGUACCGCUGUGGAAGUCCCUCGUUCGAACCGAGGUUAGGUUG